UUUUUUUUUUUUUUUUUUUUUUUUGUCUUUUGUCUUUUUAGGGCCACACCCGAGACAUAGGGAGGUUCCCAGGCUAGGGGUCUAAUUGGAGCUACAGCUGCCGGGCUACACCACAGUCACAGCCACGCCAGAUCCGAGCCAUGUCUGUGACCUACACCACAGCUCGUGGCAACGGUGGAUCCUGAACCCACUGAGCGAGGCUAGUGAUCGAACCCUCAACCUCAUGGUUCCUAGUCAGAUUCGUUUCUGCUGUGCCACAGUGGGAACUCAAGUUUAUCUUUUCCUGACUAUUACAACAUAUAUCCACAUGAGAGAAUAUAUAGAAAAUACAGAAAAAUAGAGACAUGAAAUUAAAGUACCCUGUGUCUUAUCAGAAAGCCCCCAAUAUUAUUUUUUUGGUCUAUUUUGUUGGUAAUUUUUUUUCAGUUUAUGUGGUUAAGAUCAUAUCGUGUAUGUAAUUUUUUUUUGGCCACACUCACAGCAUGUGGAAGUUCCCAGGCCAGGGCUUGAACCUGUGCCACAGCAAUGGCCCUGGCUACUGCAAUGACAAUGCCAGAUCCUUAACCCACUGUACCACAAUGGGAACUCCCUAUAAUAUUUUUACUUUGCUUUUUUAUUGUGGUUUAAAUACACAUGACAUAAAAUCUACCAUUUUAACCAUUUUAUUUAUUUAUUUAUUUUUCCUGUCUUUUAGGGCCCCACCUGCAACAUACGGAGGAGGUUCCCAGGCUAGGGGUCGAAUCUGAGCUGUAGCUGCCAGCCUAUGCCACAGAUCACGGCAACACCGGAUCCUUAACCCACUGAGCAAGGCCAGGGAUCGAACUUGCGUCCUCAUGGAUGCUAGUCAGAUUCGUUUCCGCUGAGCCACAGUGGAAACUCCUUAACCAUUUUAAAGCAUACCGCUCAUUCGGCAUUAAGUACAUUCUCAUUUUUGUGCAGCCAUCACCACCAUCCGUCCCCAGAACUUGUUCAUCUUCCCAAACCAGAACUUUGUACGAGCUGCAUCUGUGACCUACACCACAGCUCAUGGCAAUGCCGGAUCCUUAACCCACUGAGCGAGGCCAGGGAUCGAACCCGCAACCUCAAGUUUCCUAGGUGGAUUCAUUUCUGAUGCACCACAAAGGGAACUGCAGUGGUAGCCUACUUUUUUAAAUUUUUAAAAAUUUUUCCCACUGUACAGCAAGGGGAUCAAGUUACACUUACAUGUAUACAUUUUUCCCCCCACCCUUUGUUCUGUUGCAAAAUGAGUAUCUAGACAUAGUUCUCAAUGCUACUCAGCAGGAUCUCCUUGUAAAUCUAUUCCAAGUUGUAUCUGAUAACCCCAAGCUCCCGAUCUCUCCCACUCCCUCCCUCUCCCGUCGGCAGCCACAAGUCUAUUUUCCAAGUCCAUGAUUUUCUUUUCUGAGGAGAUGUUCAUUUGUGCUGGAUCUUAGAUUCCAGCUAUAAGUGAUAUCAUAUGGUAUUUGUCUUUGUCUUUCUGACUCAUUUCACUCGGUAUGAGAGUCUCUAGUUACAUCCAUGUUGUUGCAAAUGGCAUUAUGUCAUUCUUUUUUAUGGCUGAGUAGUAUUCCAUUGUAUAUAUAUAUAAUCACAUCUUCCUAAUCCAAUCAUCUGUCGAUGGACAUUUAGGUUGUUUCCAUGUCCUGGCUAUUGUGAAUAGUGCUGCAAUGAACAUGUGGGUGCAUGUGUCUCUCUCUCUUUUUUAUUUUUUUGGCUUUUUGUCUUUUUUGUUGUUGUUGUUGUUGUUGCUAUUUCUUGGGCCGCUACCACGGCAUAUUGAGGUUCCCAGGCUAGGGGUUGAAUCGGAGCUGUAGCCACCGGCCUAUGCCAGAGCCACAGCAACGCGGGAUCCAAGCCGCGUCUGCAACCUACACCACAGCUCACGGCAACGCUGGAUCGUUAAUCCACUGAGCAAGGGCAGGGACCAAACCCGCAACCUCAUGGUUCCUAGUCGGAUUCGUUAACCACUGCGCCAUGACGGGAACUCCCAUGUGUCUCUUUUAAGUAGAGUUUUGUCCGGAUAUGUGCCCAUGAGUGGGAUUGCGGGGUCAUAUGGAAGUUCUAUGUGUAGAUUUCUAAGGUAUCUCCAAACUGUUCUCCAUAGUGGCUGUACCAGUUUACAUUCCCACCAGCAGUGCAGGAGGGUUCCCUUUUCUCCACAGCCCCUCCAGCACUUGUUAUUUGUGGAUUUAUUGAUGAUGGCCAUUCUGACUGGUGUGAGGUGAUAUCUCAUGGUAGUUUUGAUUUGCAUUUCUCUUAUAAUCAGCAGUGUUGAGCAUUUUUUCAUGUGUUUGUUGGCCAUCUGUAUAUCUUCCUUGGAGAAAUGUCUAUUCAUGUCUUUUGCCCAUUUUUCCAUUGAUUGAUUGGUUUUUUUGCUGUUGAAUUGUAUAAGUUGCUUAUAUAUUCUAGAGAUUAAGCUCUUGUCCAUUGCAUCAUUUGAAACUAUUUUCUCCCAUUCUGUAAGUUGUCUUUUUGUUUUCUUUUUGGUUUCCUUUGUUGUGCAAAAGCUUUUCAGUUUGAUGAGGUCCCAUUGGUUUAUUCUUGCUCUUAUUUCUACUUUUUAAAGAAGAUUAUCUCGCAAAUAUGUUUCUAUACUCUUAGGAUCAUUUUAUGACGGCUUGAUAUUCCAGUGUAUGGCCUGCGUCGUGUUUUACUGAGCUGUAGCCCUAUUGUUGGUGUUUUCCUACUUUUCCCUUGUAGAUAAAGCUUUGAGUAGUGGUUGGGACAUAAAACACUAUCUGUCCUUCUCUAUUUUUUUUUUGUUUGUUUGUUUUUUUCUUUUUGGCUACUCCUGGGGCGUGUGGAAGUUCCUGGGCCCAGGAUCGAACAUGCACCACAGCAGCCUCUGGAGUGACAAUGCCAGAUCUUUAACCUGCUGAGUCACGAGGGAACUCUCAGGUUUUGGUUUGUUUGUCAUCAUUGGUUUUGAUAACCUCCACUACCAUUUUCCUCCUCGAGUCACCUGAUGGAAUGUUGGCUGAAGAGCAGCUGUUGUGGUCUGGGAAUGACCUUCAACUCUGUUAACCUGAGAAUUCACACAGUCCGAAGAGUUGGAAGGGACUUUGGAAGAAAUGCAGUUCAGAUAUAUUAUCUCUUUUUGCUACUUGAAUGCUUCCUGUGAUGGGGUGCUCACCCCACCACCGGGUCAACAAUUCCAUCACUCGACAAUGGUCUUGAGCGUGUUGAGGUGACCAGGGGAAGACGCAGGGAAGUACGUUUCUGGGAGAGGAACAGUCACAGCCACAUUCUCCAGCUUCGUCCCGUGUGCAUCAUCGGGGGCCUUGCUGGGCUGGCCUCUCGGUGGGUGAUCCUGUUUCUGUCACCCCACGCAGCCCCUCCCUGCUUCAUCACUGGUCCACUUCUUUUUUCUGUUUUUUUUUUUUUUUUAUGAAUGAUUUUUAUCUUUUCCAUUAUAGUUGGUUUACAGUGUUCUGUCAAUUUCUGCUGUACAGCAAAGUGACCCAGUCACACAUACACACACAUUUUUUCCCUCACAUUAUCCUCCAUCAUGUUUCAUUUCUUUCUCUUUUUUGGGCUGCACCUAUGGCAUAUGGAAGUUCCAGGGCCAGGGAUGGAAUCCAUGCCUCAGUGGCAACCCGAGCUCUGGCAGUCACAAUGCUGGAUCCUUAACCCACUGAGCCAACAGGGAACUCCACUGGUCCAUUUCUAUCUUUUUUGUUUGUUUUUCUUUUGUCUUUUUAGGGCCACACCCCUCCACCCUAUGCAGGUUCCCAAGCUGGGGGUCAAAUAGGAGCAGCAGCUGCCAGCCCACACCACAGCCACAGCAACGCAGGAUCUGAGCUGCGUCUGUGACCUACACCACAGCUCGUGGCAAGGCUGGAUCCUUAACCCACUGAGCAAGAGCAGGGAUCGAACCUGCGUCGUCAAUGGAUACUUGUUGGGUUCAUCACAGCAGGAACUCCUGGUCCAUUUCUCAAACGUACAUUUCUUUUCUUGGCAUAUGAGCCCAAACCUGUUCCUUGUUCUUUGUCUUGAGUUUUCUAGGAGAUAUUCUGUUUUCAACCCUCCAGGACAGGCAAAGGCAAUGUCUAUAAUUAAGUGUGUCUGUUCUUAAAUUCCACACACCUUAAUGGAUCAUUCCUGCUGAGGGACAUGGAAGACAAGGUGAGGAAGUAAAACCUGUCUCCAACAUCCUAGACAUCCGGCCUGCCCGGUGGGAGGCAGGUGAAAAAAAUCCCCCAUCCACUGAGCUACAACGUACGUCUUUGCCCCAGAACCUCCUGAUCUGCCCCUUCUUGCUUCCAAGGAAGAGCACCUGGGAUUUAAACUGAUACAGAAGUCACUAUCGGUUGUCACCGAUGGCCAAGGACAAGGGUGAUGCAGAGACCAACAGGUAACUU
RNAcentral lists this long non-coding RNA (4361 nucleotides) under Sus scrofa (pig). RNAcentral's name for it is "lncRNA (ENSSSCG00060069580.1)". Lineage: Eukaryota; Metazoa; Chordata; Mammalia; Artiodactyla; Suidae. The record is from RNAcentral.